AGAAAAAUUUGCCCCCAUACUAUUUCAAAUGCUUACAUUUUAAUUGAAAACUCCGGUGGAUGCAUUUGGUAUGGCACAAUAUUGAAUUUUUGGAGGGGUAACGGCUCAACACGUCUGCGAUCUUUAUGGGGACUGAGAGGGUGAUCCCCCACACUGAUACUGAUGAACGGACCAGACUCCUACCCUUGGCAGCAGUGAGGAAUAUUGGACAAUGGGUGCGAGCCUGAUCCAGCCAUCCCGCGUGAAGGACGACGGCCCUAUGGGUUGUAAACUUCUUUUGUAUAGGGAUAAACCUACCCUCGUGAGGGUAGCUGAAGGUACUAUACGAAUAAGCACCGGCUAACUCCGUGCCAGCAGCCGCGGUAAUACGGAGGGUGCAAGCGUUAUCCGGAUUUAUUGGGUUUAAAGGGUCCGUAGGCGGAUGUGUAAGUCAGUGGUGAAAUCUCACAGCUUAACUGUGAAACUGCCAUUGAUACUGCAUGUCUUGAGUGUUGUUGAAGUAGCUGGAAUAAGUAGUGUAGCGGUGAAAUGCAUAGAUAUUACUUAGAACAC
This 552-nucleotide ribosomal RNA is filed under the name bacterium BaC1-13. RNAcentral's name for it is "bacterial SSU rRNA". It matches the Rfam family "Bacterial small subunit ribosomal RNA", at positions 157 to 709 of the family's 1533-position model. The record is from RNAcentral.